UACGGAGGGGGCGAGCGUUAUUCGGAAUUAUUGGGCGUAAAGGGCGCGUAGGCGGCUGUACAAGUCAAAGGUGAAAUCCCUCGGCUCAACUGAGGAACUGCCUUUGAAACUGUACGGCUUGAGGCCGGGAGGGGGUAGCGGAAUUCCCAGUGUAGCGGUGAAAUGCGUAGAUACUGGGAGGAACACCAGUGGCGAAGGCGGCGAUCUGGACGAUGACUGACGCUGAGACGCGAAAGCGUGGGGAGCAAACAGG
RNAcentral lists this ribosomal RNA (253 nucleotides) under uncultured bacterium. RNAcentral describes it as "partial 16S ribosomal RNA". It matches the Rfam family "Bacterial small subunit ribosomal RNA", at positions 524 to 776 of the family's 1533-position model. The record is from RNAcentral.